AGUGAACGCUGGCGGUAGGCCUAACACAUGCAAGUCGAACGGCAGCACAGUAAGAGCUUGCUCUUACGGGUGGCGAGUGGCGGACGGGUGAGGAAUACAUCGGAAUCUACUUUUUCGUGGGGGAUAACGUAGGGAAACUUACGCUAAUACCGCAUACGACCUACGGGUGAAAGCAGGGGAUCUUCGUACCUUGCGCGAUUGAAUGAGCCGAUGUCGGAUUAGCUAGUUGGCGGGGUAAAGGCCCACCAAGGCGACGAUCCGUAGCUGGUCUGAGAGGAUGAUCAGCCACACUGGAACUGAGACACGGUCCAGACUCCUACGGGAGGCAGCAGUGGGGAAUAUUGGACAAUGGGCGCAAGCCUGAUCCAGCCAUACCGCGUGGGUGAAGAAGGCCUUCGGGUUGAAAAGCCCUUUUGUUGGGAAAGAAAAGCAGCAGGUUAAUACCCCGCUGUUCUGACGGUACCCAAAGAAUAAGCACCGGCUAACUUCGUG
Molecule: ribosomal RNA, 492 nt
Filed under: uncultured bacterium
Lineage: Bacteria
Description: partial 16S ribosomal RNA
Rfam family: Bacterial small subunit ribosomal RNA
Source: RNAcentral